RNAcentral lists this ribosomal RNA (482 nucleotides) under Hoplolaimidae environmental sample. RNAcentral's name for it is "SSU rRNA". It matches the Rfam family "Eukaryotic small subunit ribosomal RNA", at positions 1087 to 1593 of the family's 1831-position model. The record is from RNAcentral. Lineage: Eukaryota; Metazoa; Nematoda; Chromadorea; Rhabditida; Hoplolaimidae.
CUUCCCGGAAACGAAAGUCUUCCGGUUCCGGGGGAAGUAUGGUUGCAAAGCUGAAACUUAAAGGAAUUGACGGAGGGGCACCACCAGGAGUGGAGCCUGCGGCUUAAUUUGACUCAACACGGGGAAACUCACCCGGCCCGGACACCGUAAGGAUUGACAGAUUGAUAGCUUUUUCAUGAUUCGGUGGAUGGUGGUGCAUGGCCGUUCUUAGUUCGUGGAGCGAUUUGUCUGGUUUAUUCCGAUAACGAGCGAGACUCUGGCCUACUAAAUAGUUGGCGCAUUGCUACUGUGCGUACACACUUCUUAGAGGGAUUUUCGGUGUUCAGCCGCACGAAAUUGAGCAAUAACAGGUCUGUGAUGCCCUUAGAUGUCCGGGGCUGCACGCGCGCUACACUGGCAAAAUCAGCGUGCUUGGCCUUUCCCGAAAGGGAUUGGUAAACCCGUGAAAAUUUGCCGUGAUUGGGAUCGGACAUUGCAAUUUA